GUUGAACCUGAGGCUCUGCAUCAUCUCCUCUUCUUGUCUGACCUUUUUCGCGCUUUAUUCUAUCUGCCUGCUUCUGAUGCAGUCUAGCUCUUUUCUGGAAUAUUUUAUCCUCAUAACUUCCAACAGCUUGAAUAAAAUGUUCAACUCUUUGCAAAUUUGGCUUGCUUCCAUCAGUCAAAUACCCACCAAGUGCCCUAAAUUCCUUCUUGUACACAGCCAAUAGCAAGUUAAUUGCGCCCUCCCGAAUCUCUAAUGUGGGCAUAUGGGGUAAAAAGUCGUUGCCAACAAAAAAACACAUGAACACAAAAUCAUCCACAAUACGUUCAAUGUCGAUUUCAAAGGGAGGAUUAGGAAUACGCAUCUCAUGUUCCAAGUACUCUCUAAGUGUCCAUAUAUGGAGAAACUGGUAAGGUUUUUUAACUACAACGUCUUCACCUUUCUCAUCAAACUCUCCAGCCUUUCUCUUGGCUUUACCCUCA
RNAcentral lists this unclassified non-coding RNA (479 nucleotides) under Hevea brasiliensis (rubber tree). Lineage: Eukaryota; Viridiplantae; Streptophyta; Magnoliopsida; Malpighiales; Euphorbiaceae. The record is from RNAcentral.